UCUCAAACUUCUAUAUGAUAA
Molecule: non-coding RNA, 21 nt
Organism: Caenorhabditis elegans
Lineage: Eukaryota; Metazoa; Nematoda; Chromadorea; Rhabditida; Rhabditidae
Source: Ensembl